Molecule: small nuclear RNA, 160 nt
Filed under: Mus pahari (shrew mouse)
Lineage: Eukaryota; Metazoa; Chordata; Mammalia; Rodentia; Muridae
Description: predicted gene, 22177 (MGP_PahariEiJ_G0033112.1)
Rfam family: U1 spliceosomal RNA
About the family: U1 is a small nuclear RNA (snRNA) component of the spliceosome (involved in pre-mRNA splicing).
Source: RNAcentral
AUGCUCACCUGACAGAGAGAUGGCAAGGCCCAGAAGACCUUUCUUAGGUCUUCUCCUGCAUCUCCUGCAGUCUGAUGUGCUAACCCUGGGACUUUCUCACAUAUAGGAAAUUCAACUGCACAAAUUUCUGGUAGUGGGGAACUGUGUUCAUAGUCUCCCC